CAGCACCUCAAGUGGUCAGGAUGAUUAUUGGGCCUAAAGCAUCCGUAGCCGGCGCUGUAAGUUUUCGGUUAAAUCUGUACGCUCAACGUACAGGCUGCCGGGAAUACUGCAGCGCUAGGGAGUGGGAGAGGUAGACGGUACUCGGUAGGAAGGGGUAAAAUCCUUUGAUCUAUUGAUGACCAACUGUGGCGAAGGCGGUCUACCAGAACACGUCCGACGGUGAGGGAUGAAAGCUGGGGGAGCAAACCGGAUUAGAGACCCGAGUAGUCC
This 270-nucleotide ribosomal RNA is filed under the name uncultured archaeon. RNAcentral describes it as "partial 16S ribosomal RNA". It matches the Rfam family "Archaeal small subunit ribosomal RNA", at positions 477 to 747 of the family's 1478-position model. The record is from RNAcentral.